RNAcentral lists this ribosomal RNA (417 nucleotides) under uncultured bacterium. RNAcentral describes it as "bacterial SSU rRNA". It matches the Rfam family "Bacterial small subunit ribosomal RNA", at positions 94 to 526 of the family's 1533-position model. The record is from RNAcentral.
AGCGGCGGACGGGUGAGUAACGCGUGGGCAACCUGCCUUAUAGACCGGGAUAACAGGUCGAAAGGCCUGCUAAUACCGGAUGAGCUCAUGGUUUUGCAUAGGGCCAUGAGGGAAGGGGAGACCCGCUAUAAGAUGGGCCCGCGUCCCAUUAGCUAGUUGGUGAGGUAACGGCUCACCAAGGCGACGAUGGGUAGCCGGCCUGAGAGGGCGACCGGCCACACUGGAACUGAGACACGGUCCAGACUCCUACGGGGGGCAGCAGUAGGGAAUCUUCGGCAAUGGGCGAAAGCCUGACCGAGCGACGCCGCGUGAGGGACGAAGGUCUUCGGAUUGUAAACCUCUGUCUAGGGGGACGAGGAAGGACGGUACCCCUGGAGGAAGCCCCGGCUAACUACGUGCCAGCAGCCGCGGUAAUAC